Molecule: long non-coding RNA, 559 nt
Organism: Carassius auratus (goldfish)
Lineage: Eukaryota; Metazoa; Chordata; Actinopteri; Cypriniformes; Cyprinidae
Exons: 2
Source: RefSeq, a predicted model, not a curated record
CAGGUGUAUAUUUUCAUCUGUAUUGAGAGAAUAGAAGACCUCAUCUGCCAUAUUUACGUCCUGUUACAACCUGUGAAACAGAAAGAUGAUUGCUUCCAAAGACCAGACCACGAUGGAUUCCAGCAGAGCUGCCUCAUCCAGUCCUCCUGACACUAUUGAGGAACGAGUUCAGCAAACCCUCCUUCCCUCAACCUGCACUGAUAACUCUCCUCCUUCUACCCCUCCUCACCCGGUGUACGCCAGUCCCAGUGUCCACCCAGCGUCUCCAGCAGGCUCGGCUGAGGACUGCAGCAGCUUCCUUCUCCUGUGUGCUCUCAUCUUUGAGAUGUAGCCACAUUCAAGCCUGGCAUUCAGCAGAUUCGUAUUUUGGCUUGAUCUAGACUUGACUGCAUUUGCUCUUGAGUGUUGCAUUCCUUCUGUCAGAAGUAACAAAAGAUCAACAGUAUUGUUAAACUUGUAAAGAACCGAAGCAUUUAACAUAUUACUCUGAGCCUUUUUAAGAGAUGAUCGAAAUACGAACUGCAAAAUUUUAAAUAAAUGAAUAAAUAUAUUCCAGAAA